AAGGAGAGAGGGACCCUAGGAGGGACAUGAAAUCCUGAUAAGACAGACAAUCAGGUGAGAGGAGGUCCUAACUAGUCAAUGAUCUAAAUUGAUCGAAACCUGUAGACACUGUAGCCUUUAUGGACUGGAGUUGCACACGUCAUAGAACAACAUGAAAAAGAAAGUGACAGACUAAUAGUGCAUUGUUGGUAAAUGGUGACAUACUGACUGAUGUGCAAGUAAUAAUAAUAAAUAUGUAUUUGUUAUGCAAAGUGAUUUGUAGAUAAGUCAGUCUGUGUGUGGAAGAGGAUGAAGACCUUUAGUUACGUGCAGGACAUAGUAAAACACAUGCUAUCAAUGACAUGCAGCUUUUCUCAUAGACGGGAGGUUACAAUGUGAAGGAAUCUGUUAGGAUUGGAAGUUGUCUCUUUAUGUUUCUUUUGAGAUGGUAUGGCCUCUGAGGACCCCCAAGACCAACUGUAUGAGGCUAUUAAAAAGGUAGAAUGCCUUGCUGAGGAGCUCAACCAAGAGGACCCACAAGCCCAACUGGACGAGGCCAUUAAUGAGGCAAAAAGGCUGGCUGAGGAGCUCAACCAAGAGGACCCACAAGCCCAACUGGACAAGGCCAUUAAUGAGGCAAAAAGGCUGGCUGAGGAGCUCAACCCAGAACAGGAAAAUAAGAAGAAAAAGACAAACAAGCCUCCAGGGAUUAGGUUCAGAUGGAGACAAAGGGAUGAGAGAGGACAGAUUGUUCCUCAAACCAGGAAGGCAACUACAUCCACUUCUCUUGCUCCAAGGGCCAGUACAUCGAGAGCCAGACUAGUGUAA
This 807-nucleotide long non-coding RNA is filed under the name Salmo trutta (river trout). RNAcentral describes it as "lncRNA (ENSSTUG00000034810.1)". The record is from RNAcentral. Lineage: Eukaryota; Metazoa; Chordata; Actinopteri; Salmoniformes; Salmonidae.